UACGUAGGGUGCAAGCGUUAAUCGGAAUUACUGGGCGUAAAGCGUGCGCAGGCGGUGAUGUAAGACAGUUGUGAAAUCCCCGGGCUCAACCUGGGAACUGCAUUUGUGACUGCAUGGCUGGAGUGCGGCAGAGGGGGAUGGAAUUCCGCGUGUAGCAGUGAAAUGCGUAGAUAUGCGGAGGAACACCGAUGGCGAAGGCAAUCCCCUGGGCCUGCACUGACGCUCAUGCACGAAAGCGUGGGGAGCAAACAGG
RNAcentral lists this ribosomal RNA (253 nucleotides) under uncultured bacterium. Its description in RNAcentral is "partial 16S ribosomal RNA". It matches the Rfam family "Bacterial small subunit ribosomal RNA", at positions 524 to 776 of the family's 1533-position model. The record is from RNAcentral.